Molecule: ribosomal RNA, 372 nt
Filed under: Fomitopsis sp. BAB-3995
Lineage: Eukaryota; Fungi; Basidiomycota; Agaricomycetes; Polyporales; Fomitopsidaceae
Description: eukaryotic LSU rRNA
Rfam family: 5.8S ribosomal RNA (bases 1-100)
Source: RNAcentral
GCGAUACUUGGUGUGAAUUGCAGAAUUCAGUGAAUCAUCGAAUCUUUGAACGCACCUUGCGCUCCUUGGUAUUCCGAGGAGCAUGCCUGUUUGAGUGUCGUGGAACUAUCAACUCUAGUUGCUUGUGUAAUCAGAGUUGGAUGUGGAGGUUGUUUGCCGGGCCCACUUUGGUGUUCAGCUCCUCUUAAAUUUAUUAGCUUGAGCUCUUUGAGUGGAUUGGCUUUGGUGUGAUAAUUGUCUGCACCAUGCUGUGAAGCUAGGCUUUGGCUUUGAAUGUGUCCUCCCCCCUCUGGGGUGUGAGACAAUUAACCCUUGGACCUCAAAUCAGGUAGGAUUACCCGCUGAACUUAAGCAUAUCAAUAAGCGGAGGAA